UACGGAGGGGGCUAGCGUUGUUCGGAAUUACUGGGCGUAAAGCGCACGUAGGCGGCUUUGUAAGUUAGAGGUGAAAGCCCAGGGCUUAACCCUGGAAUUGCCUUUAAGACUGCAUCGCUAGAAUUGUGGAGAGGUAAGUGGAAUUCCGAGUGUAGAGGUGAAAUUCGUAGAUAUUCGGAAGAACACCAGUGGCGAAGGCGACUUACUGGACACAUAUUGACGCUGAGGUGGCGAAAAGCGUGGGGAGCAAACAGG
RNAcentral lists this ribosomal RNA (255 nucleotides) under uncultured bacterium. RNAcentral's name for it is "partial 16S ribosomal RNA". It matches the Rfam family "Bacterial small subunit ribosomal RNA", at positions 524 to 776 of the family's 1533-position model. The record is from RNAcentral.